Molecule: small nucleolar RNA, 120 nt
Filed under: Echinops telfairi (small Madagascar hedgehog)
Lineage: Eukaryota; Metazoa; Chordata; Mammalia; Afrosoricida; Tenrecidae
Description: Small nucleolar RNA SNORA61 (ENSETEG00000025914.1)
Source: RNAcentral
CGUCUCUAGAUUCCUUACACUUCUGAUCUACAUAUUGAUGUGAGUGGCUGAAAAAGGAGGAAAAGAGAAAUUGUAGGGGACUUGAAGCCUGUAAUGGCAAACAGUUCAUGUCAAUCAUAA